Molecule: ribosomal RNA, 486 nt
Filed under: uncultured bacterium
Lineage: Bacteria
Description: partial 16S ribosomal RNA
Rfam family: Bacterial small subunit ribosomal RNA
Source: RNAcentral
GACGAACGCUGGCGGCGUGCUUAACACAUGCAAGUCGAACGCUGAAGACCUGGCUUUUGUUGGGUUGGAUGAGUGGCGAACGGGUGAGUAACACGUGAGUAACCUGCCCUCUUCUUUGGGAUAACGCCCGGAAACGGGUGCUAAUACUGGAUAUUCACUGGCCUUCGCAUGGGGGUUGGUGGAAAGGUUUGUUCUGGUGGGGGAUGGGCUCGCGGCCUAUCAGCUUGUUGGUGGGGUGAUGGCCUACCAAGGCUUUGACGGGUAGCCGGCCUGAGAGGGUGACCGGUCACAUUGGGACUGGGAUACGGCCCAGACUCCUACGGGAGGCAGCAGUGGGGAAUAUUGCACAAUGGGCGAAAGCCUGAUGCAGCGACGCCGCGUGAGGGAUGGAGGCCUUCGGGUUGUAAACCUCUUUCGCUCAUGGUCAAGCCGCAACUGUGGGUUGUGGUGAGGGUAGUGGGUAAAGAAGCGCCGGCUAACUACGUG